GCAAGUCGAACGCAUCCUUCGGGAUGAGUGGCAGACGGGUGAGUAACGCGUGGGAAUCUACCUAUCUCUACGGAACAACACAUAGAAAUGUGUGCUAAUACCGUAUACGCCCUUAGGGGGAAAGAUUUAUCGGAGAUAGAUGAGCCCGCGUUGGAUUAGCUAGUUGGUGAGGUAAUGGCUCACCAAGGCGACGAUCUAUAGGGGGUCUGAGAGGAUUAUC
This 220-nucleotide ribosomal RNA is filed under the name uncultured bacterium. RNAcentral's name for it is "partial 16S ribosomal RNA". It matches the Rfam family "Bacterial small subunit ribosomal RNA", at positions 57 to 305 of the family's 1533-position model. The record is from RNAcentral.